GACGAACGCUGGCGGCGUGCUUAACACAUGCAAGUCGAACGGAAAGGCCCUGCUUUUGUGGGGUGCUCGAGUGGCGAACGGGUGAGUAACACGUGAGUAACCUGCCCUUGACUUUGGGAUAACUUCAGGAAACUGGGGCUACUACCAGAUAGGAUCUCCUGCUGCAUGGUGGGGGUUGGAAAGUUUCGGCCGUUGGGGAUGGACGCGCGGCUUAUCAGCUUGUUGGUGGGGUAGUGGCUUACCAAGGGUUUGACGGGUACGCGGCCUGGGAGGGUGAACGGGCACAAGGGGACUGAGAGAGGGCCCAGUGUGCAAUGGGAGGCAGUAGUGGGGAAUAUUGCACAAUGGGCGGAAGUGUGUGGCAGCAACGCCGGGUGCGGGAUGACGGCCUGCGGGGUGAAAAAAGCUGUCGGCUGUGACGAAGCGUGAGUGACGGUAAUGGGUAAAGAAGCACCGGCUAACUACGUG
This 468-nucleotide ribosomal RNA is filed under the name uncultured bacterium. RNAcentral describes it as "partial 16S ribosomal RNA". It matches the Rfam family "Bacterial small subunit ribosomal RNA", at positions 28 to 507 of the family's 1533-position model. The record is from RNAcentral.